Long non-coding RNA from Talpa occidentalis (Iberian mole), 626 nucleotides. RefSeq lists it as uncharacterized. NCBI's taxonomy places the organism in Eukaryota, Metazoa, Chordata, Mammalia, Eulipotyphla, Talpidae. The record is from RefSeq and is a predicted model, not a curated record. The transcript is spliced from 4 exons.
CAAAACUUCAAUAUAAAGGAUGAAGAAUUUGCAAGUAGGAGGACAAAAAUUGGAAAUUUCCAAGGACAGCGGAAAUGCUCUCCACUACCCUGCACAGAGGAACACUUGGUUAUCUCCAGAGGCCUCUGGAAAUGCACAGUAGAUGUGGCAGUCAGGGCUUGUAGCGGCUCCCCUGGCCUUGAUCCACGAGAUGCCAGCUGCACCACCCACACCCCAGUUGUGACAACUAAUGAUGUCCCCAAGCAUCGUCAGAUGUUCUCUGGGCACCACAUUACCCCAAGCUAAGAACAGCUGGCUUCCUUCUCUUCUCACCACCGUCUUGGUUGUCAGCCCCUGGAUUUUUGGCCAUAAUCUCUACAACUGAGUCUUUCUCAACUGGGGCUCUUGCAACUGAACCACAGAAGUCAGAACAUUUUCCUGACUCUUCCAAGGAUGAUACAUAAAUGGAACCACUCUAAAUGCAGAAAGAAGUCUCUUCAAUAACUAGCACAAUUGUAAAUACUGAAAGAAGUUAAUUACUACAACCAAUCUAGGGCCAUAAAGACAAUAUAACUGCAACCAUUCUAGAUGCAAAAGAAGCCCAUUCAUCACUUGCAGAGGAUGCCUAGGAGAAUAAUUCUGUUGCA